RNAcentral lists this ribosomal RNA (136 nucleotides) under uncultured Trebouxiophyceae. Its description in RNAcentral is "partial small subunit ribosomal RNA". It matches the Rfam family "Eukaryotic small subunit ribosomal RNA", at positions 1670 to 1804 of the family's 1831-position model. The record is from RNAcentral. Lineage: Eukaryota; Viridiplantae; Chlorophyta; Trebouxiophyceae.
CGCCCGUCGCUCCUACCGAUUGGGUGUGCUGGUGAAGCGUUCGGAUUGGCGACAGUUGGUGGUUUCCGCCGGCUGUUGCUGAGAAGUUCGUUAAACCCUCCCACCUAGAGGAAGGAGAAGUCGUAACAAGGUUUCC